Molecule: ribosomal RNA, 1515 nt
Filed under: Escherichia coli
Lineage: Bacteria; Pseudomonadati; Pseudomonadota; Gammaproteobacteria; Enterobacterales; Enterobacteriaceae
Description: partial 23S ribosomal RNA
Rfam family: Bacterial large subunit ribosomal RNA
Source: RNAcentral
GGGUUGUGAGGUUAAGCGACUAAGCGUACACGGUGGAUGCCCUGGCAGUCAGAGGCGAUGAAGGACGUGCUAAUCUGCGAUAAGCGUCGGUAAGGUGAUAUGAACCGUUAUAACCGGCGAUUUCCGAAUGGGGAAACCCAGUGUGUUUCGACACACUAUCAUUAACUGAAUCCAUAGGUUAAUGAGGCGAACCGGGGGAACUGAAACAUCUAAGUACCCCGAGGAAAAGAAAUCAACCGAGAUUCCCCCAGUAGCGGCGAGCGAACGGGGAGCAGCCCAGAGCCUGAAUCAGUAUGUGUGUUAGUGGAAGCGUCUGGAAAGGCGCGCGAUACAGGGUGACAGCCCCGUACACAAAAAUGCACAUGCUGUGAGCUCGAUGAGUAGGGCGGGACACGUGGUAUCCUGUCUGAAUAUGGGGGGACCAUCCUCCAAGGCUAAAUACUCCUGACUGACCGAUAGUGAACCAGUACCGUGAGGGAAAGGCGAAAAGAACCCCGGCGAGGGGAGUGAAAAAGAACCUGAAACCGUGUACGUACAAGCAGUGGGAGCACGCUUAGGCGUGUGACUGCGUACCUUUUGUAUAAUGGGUCAGCGACUUAUAUUCUGUAGCAAGGUUAACCGAAUAGGGGAGCCGAAGGGAAACCGAGUCUUAACUGGGCGUUAAGUUGCAGGGUAUAGACCCGAAACCCGGUGAUCUAGCCAUGGGCAGGUUGAAGGUUGGGUAACACUAACUGGAGGACCGAACCGACUAAUGUUGAAAAAUUAGCGGAUGACUUGUGGCUGGGGGUGAAAGGCCAAUCAAACCGGGAGAUAGCUGGUUCUCCCCGAAAGCUAUUUAGGUAGCGCCUCGUGAAUUCAUCUCCGGGGGUAGAGCACUGUUUCGGCAAGGGGGUCAUCCCGACUUACCAACCCGAUGCAAACUGCGAAUACCGGAGAAUGUUAUCACGGGAGACACACGGCGGGUGCUAACGUCCGUCGUGAAGAGGGAAACAACCCAGACCGCCAGCUAAGGUCCCAAAGUCAUGGUUAAGUGGGAAACGAUGUGGGAAGGCCCAGACAGCCAGGAUGUUGGCUUAGAAGCAGCCAUCAUUUAAAGAAAGCGUAAUAGCUCACUGGUCGAGUCGGCCUGCGCGGAAGAUGUAACGGGGCUAAACCAUGCACCGAAGCUGCGGCAGCGACGCUUAUGCGUUGUUGGGUAGGGGAGCGUUCUGUAAGCCUGUGAAGGUGUGCUGUGAGGCAUGCUGGAGGUAUCAGAAGUGCGAAUGCUGACAUAAGUAACGAUAAAGCGGGUGAAAAGCCCGCUCGCCGGAAGACCAAGGGUUCCUGUCCAACGUUAAUCGGGGCAGGGUGAGUCGACCCCUAAGGCGAGGCCGAAAGGCGUAGUCGAUGGGAAACAGGUUAAUAUUCCUGUACUUGGUGUUACUGCGAAGGGGGGACGGAGAAGGCUAUGUUGGCCGGGCGACGGUUGUCCCGGUUUAAGCGUGUAGGCUGGUUUUCCAGGCAAAUCCGGAAAAU